AAGUCGUAACAAGGUUUCCGUAGGUGAACCUGCGGAAGGAUCAUUAAAUGAAGAAUAUGGCAUUCAUUACCAAUGGAUGAACAUAUAAACCCACCUGCGUACCGCUCCUGUUGCUUCCGUGGGGCGGUGACCAACGUCGCCGCCGACGGAUGGCUCCGGCCAUCUGGAGGGGAGUCCCCACGGGAGGUCUACAUAAACUCUGUUUUUUCUGAACUCAGUCUGAAAACUGUUUUUAAAUAAACUUUAAAACUUUCAACAACGGAUCUCUUGGUUCUC
This 276-nucleotide unclassified non-coding RNA is filed under the name fungal sp. Its description in RNAcentral is "partial internal transcribed spacer region". The stretch from base 1 to 46 matches the Rfam family "Eukaryotic small subunit ribosomal RNA", at positions 1786 to 1831 of the family's 1831-position model. Lineage: Eukaryota; Fungi. The record is from RNAcentral.